GGGGAUUUAGCUCAGUGGUACAGCACCUGCCUCAUAAGCACAAAGUCAUGAGUUCAAUCCCCA
RNAcentral lists this transfer RNA (63 nucleotides) under Fukomys damarensis (Damara mole-rat). It matches the Rfam family "tRNA", at positions 1 to 62 of the family's 71-position model. Rfam says of the family: Transfer RNA (tRNA) molecules are approximately 80 nucleotides in length. Their secondary structure includes four short double-helical elements and three loops (D, anti-codon, and T loops). The record is from Rfam by way of RNAcentral. Lineage: Eukaryota; Metazoa; Chordata; Mammalia; Rodentia; Bathyergidae.